RNAcentral lists this ribosomal RNA (253 nucleotides) under uncultured bacterium. Its description in RNAcentral is "partial 16S ribosomal RNA". It matches the Rfam family "Bacterial small subunit ribosomal RNA", at positions 524 to 776 of the family's 1533-position model. The record is from RNAcentral.
AACGUAGGUCCCGAGCGUUAUCCGGAUUUACUGGGCGUAAAGCGCGUGCAGGCGGCUCCGCAAGUCGGGCAUGAAAUCUCUCGGCUCAACCGAGAGAGGUUGUCCGAUACUGCGGGGCUUGAGGACGGAAGAGGCGGGUGGUAUUCCGCAUGUAGUGGUGAAAUGCGUAGAGAUGCGGAGGAACACCAGUGGCGAAAGCGGCCCGCUGGCCCGCUCCUGACGCUCAGACGCGAAAGCUCGGGGAGCGAACGGG